RNAcentral lists this ribosomal RNA (490 nucleotides) under uncultured bacterium. Its description in RNAcentral is "partial 16S ribosomal RNA". It matches the Rfam family "Bacterial small subunit ribosomal RNA", at positions 30 to 507 of the family's 1533-position model. The record is from RNAcentral.
AUCGAACGCUGGCGGCAGGCCUAACACAUGCAAGUCGAACGGUAACAGGAAGACGCUUGCUUCUUUGCUGACGAGCGGCGGGCGGGUGAGCAAUGUCUUGGAAACUGCCUGAUGGAGGGGGAUAACUACUGGAAACGGUAGCUAAUACCGCAUAAUGUCGCAAGACCAAUGAGGGGGACCUUCGGGCCUCUUGCCAUCGGACGUGCGCAGAUGUGAUUCGCUAGCAGGUGGGGUACCGGCUCACCUAGGCGACGAACCCUAGCUGGUCUGAGAGGAUGACCAGCCACACUGGAACUGAGGCACGGUACAGACUCCUACAGUAGGCCGCAGUGGGGAAUAUUGCGCAAUGGAGGCAAGCCUGAUACAGCAAUGCGGCGUGUAUGAAGAAGGCGCUCGGGUGGUAGAGUACUUACAGCGGGGAGGAAGGAAAGAAAGUUAAUACGUGUGCUUAUUGACGUUACCCGCAGAAUAAGCACCGGCUAACUCCGUG